GCUCUUUCCUGCAUCCCACACAAAAGACCAACAGACGCCUUCGAGAAAUAUGUGUGUGUGUGUGUGUCCAGAUGCCAUGCAUGGGAUCAGUGAAUUCUCCAUCCAGAUGAUCCAUAUAGCAACCUGUCAUGGUAGCAGUGUACAGCAUGUUUAGAGGUAAACACAGCAUACAUGAAACCUAUGGCUAAAACAGAAUAGCUAGCUAUCCAAGACAUCUGUUAUGAUGCAAUAGGUCUCAGUUAAGAACACAUGAACCCACUGCACUCAAAUGUAAUGUUUUCAUUAAGUAGGAAGUAUGAAAAAUGCUUACAAACUAUGAAGUAUGUUUACUAAGUAUGAAGUUUGCUUACUAAAUAUGAAGUAUGAUCACGAAGUAGAAAGUACGCUUACUUGAAGUAUGCUUAUUGAAGAUUUUACUGUAUGUGUGCUGUAUUUUGCUCUAUUUACAGUAUGUUGUAUUUAGCUUUAUCUAUGUUUACUCAACAGAGUUGUAUCUAUGCUUUCAUGUACAAUGUGAGAUCUUUUGUACCAAACAGUCAGCAUCAACUGCCCCCACAAAUGGCCGCUGUAUUCUACUCAGGCAUUAACAGAGACGACUGCACAUUGAUGCUACUGUACAUGCGGAGUCAGCCAACAUUCCACACCCCAGCCAGGACCCGCCUGCUGCCCUUUUAUGGGUUGAAGCUGCAUGGUCGGGCAUCAUGGGUGCUGCAUUGUAUAUCAGAAAAAAACAUCUCUAGGUUAAUUUCUUAUGCUACUCAAAACCAAGAAAAAGUAGAAUGAUAGGAAGGUAGAUGGACUGGCUACUCAAAAGCUAGAAGUAUGUAAAAACAUAGGAUGAUUGAUGUAGGGAAGAACGAUACAGUACGAUAGAUUUGGGAAAGAGAGAAGGAUAGGAGGAUAGAUGGAGGCAAAGAGGACAAGAAAAUAGGUCAGGAGGAUAGAUGGAGGGAAGGAUAGGAGGAUAGAUGGAGGGAAGGUUAGGAGGAUAGAUGGAGGGAAGGUUAGGAGGAUAGAUGGAGGGAAGGUUAGGAGGAUAGAUGGAGGGAAGGAUAGGAGGAUAGAUGGAGGGAAGGAAGGUUAGGGAGAUAGAUGGAGGGAGGGAAGGUUAGGAGGAUAGAUGGAGGGACGAUCAAGAGGAUAGAUGGAGGGAAGGUUAGGAGGAUAGAUGGAGGGAAGGUUAGGAGGAUAGAUUGAGGGAAGGUUAGGAGGAUAGAUGGAGGGACGAUCAAGAGGAUAAAUGGAGGGAAGGUUAGGAGGAUAUAUUGAGGGAAGGUUAGGAGGAUAGAUGGAGGGAGGGAAGGUUAGGAGGAUAGAUGGAGGGAAAGUUAGGAGGAUAGAUGGAGGGACGAUCAAGAGGAUAGAUGGAGGGGAGGUUAGGAGGAUAGAUGGAGGGAGGGAAGGUUAGGAGGAUAGAUGGAGGGAAGGUUAGGAGGAUAGAUGGAGGGAGGGAAGGUUAGGAGGAUAGAUGGAGGGAUGAUCAAGAGGAUAGAUGGAGGGAAGGUUAGGAGGAUAGAUGGAGGGAAGGUCAGGAGGAUAGAUGAGGGAUGGUUAGGAGGAUAGAUUGAGGGAAGGUUAGGAGGAUAGAUUGAGGGAAGGUUAGGAGGAUAGAUGGAAGGAGGGAAGGUUAGGAGGAUAGAUGGAGGGACGAUCAAGAGGAUAGAUGGAGGGAAGGUUAGGAGGAUAGAUGGAGGGAAGGUCAAGUGGAUAGAUGGAGGGAAGGUCAAUAGGAUAGAUGGAGGGAAGGUCAAGUGGAUAGAUGGAGGGAAGGUCAAGAGGAUAGAUGGAGGGAAGGUCAAGAGGAUAGAUGGAGGGAAGGUCAAGAGGAUAGAUGGAGGGAAGUUUAAGAGGAUAGAAUGAUGGAUGAAAGGGAAAGAAGGAGGGAGGGAGAACAAGGUAAGGACAGACAACAAACAGCAUGACAAAAACAGCCUCCUGACAUGCUAGUAAAAGGAGAAGUGUGGCUUUGUUCCAGACUGUUGUGUGUGUGUGUGUUCUCUGGAGCAGAGCCCAGUGUUCUGACAUGUGUUUCUGUUUAUUAAUGAGUCUGGAGGCGCUGCCAAUGAAUGAUGAGUUUCCUUUCUCUCUCCCUCUGUUCUCCUUUUCUCUGUCCUCUCUUUCUCUGUCUCUCUCUCUCUCUUUGACCUCUUUCUCUCUCUCUGUGUCACACACACCCACAUGCACACACACACAUGCACACACAAUCUUGUACAGCUAACCUUGUGGGGAUACACAAUUCAGUUCCAUUCAAAGUUCUAUUUUCCCUAAUCCCUAAAUGAAACCCUAACCCUAACCUUAACCCAAAAACCGAACCUUAACUCUAACCCUAAAACUAACCUCAGCUCCUAACCGUAAGCCUUAACGUAAUUCUAACCCUAACACUAAUUCUAACCUUAAUCAUAAACCCCUUAGAAAUAGCAUUUGAACUUGUGGGGACAAACAAAAUAUCCACAGUUGGUCACAUUUUUGUUGUUUACAAUUCUUGUGGGGACUUCUGUUAAACACGUCCACACCCACACACACACUACAUCCCAGCGCCUGACCCUCAGCACGCCAUAAAUCUGACUUCAAGGGCGGUGUCGGCGUUGGCGAGAACAGGAUAUGAGAGCGUGGCCCUCUCAAAAUCUUCCCCUCCAGAUGAGAACAAAAUGUAGAGAAUGUUCCAGAUGCCGCGGCCGCUACAGUCUAGGAACAUGUGGAGCCAAGAGCUGGAAAACGAGCAGCCCUUCCUAUCUUUUCCCCCUUCUUUCCAUGCAUUUUCUCUCUGUUGUCUAACUUAUCCGUCUCUGUUUUUGGGCUGUUGGUAGGCUAGCUUUUUGUUUCGUACUGUUAUCUCUUUGAUAGUGUCUCCUUAUCUUGUUAUCUUGUCACUCUCCUCUUCCUUCCACUUCUGUCUAGCAUCUUAAAACACACACACACACACACAUUGAGGUAGAGACAAACACACACACACACACACACACAAACACACACACACACACACACAUUGAGGUAAACACACACACACACAUUGAGACAAACACACACACACACACAAACACACACACACACACACACAUUGAGGUAGAGACAAACAUACACACACACACACACACACAUUGAGGUAGAGACAAACACACACACACACACACACACACAUUGAGGUAGAGACAAACAAACACACACACACACACACACACACACAUUGAGGUAGAGACAAACACACACACACACACACACACAUUGAGGUAGAGACAAACACACACACACACACACACAUUGAGGUAGAGACAAACACACACACACACAAACAUACAUAUGUACAAACACACAAAGACAGAGUGACACACACACACACACACACAUUGAGGUAGAGACAAACACACACACACACACAUACAUAUGUACAAACACACAAAGACAGAGUGACACACACACACACAUCCCUCAGACAGGAUUAUCCCACUCUCACAAGUUGAUCCUCUCUGGCAAGCACUGCCAGUCCCCUCUGAGCAUGGAACAGAAGCACUACUGUCAGGGCAGAGCUGUGACCUAGAGAGUAGUAUGUCUGUGUGUGUGUGUGGGUCUCUGUUUGUGUGUGUGUAUCCCUCUGUGUGUUUGUGUGUGUGUGUCUCCCGUUGUUUGUUUGGGUGUGUCAGGUCACAGGCCAAGGUCUCCAACCUGAUCCGCUCUGAGGCAAUCGGCCUGCGAGUGCAUUAAGAGAUUGCGGGGGGGACGCCGAGCCGAGGCUCACUGGCUCGACUUAAAGACAUACACAUAAUCCUGGCUGCUCUGCUGUGGUCUGCUCCACCUGACAAGGAUAAGUGUGGCAGGUGUGUCUGUCAGGGACUGUGUGUGUGUGUGUGUGUGUGUGUGUGUGUGUGUGUGUGUGUUUGUGCGUAUCCUCUCUGAGCUGUACCCCACCUACGCCCUCUCAGGCGUGCCCCUGUCCUUGGACACCCUUACCCGCCCUAGAGUCACUUCAUCUGCCAACUGGAUAAAGAGAGAGAGAGAUAAGGAGGGGUACACAGAGAGAGGGAGAGCGAGACAGAGAGCGAGACAGAGGUAGUCAGACAGACGGAGGGAGAGAGGGAACCAGCCAGUAGAGAGACGUGACAGGACAGAGGUUACCCCACACCCUGAUGUCAUCCUUCCCAGCCUGACCACACAAAGCAUGGUCAGUUAGCUAUAGUCACAAAGCACACCAACACUUAACCAUGCAUUUAAACUAUGGACGCUUGAGAUCUGCAAGUGUACGGUAUGUGUUUAUAAGGUAUGCUACAUAAUUCCACUGUAUGUCACUUGGACUGUGUUCAUUUUGAUAAUAAAUGGAAUUGCA
Oncorhynchus tshawytscha (Chinook salmon) is the source of this 4318-nucleotide long non-coding RNA. NCBI's taxonomy places the organism in Eukaryota, Metazoa, Chordata, Actinopteri, Salmoniformes, Salmonidae. The record is from Ensembl.